This 820-nucleotide ribosomal RNA is filed under the name uncultured bacterium. Its description in RNAcentral is "bacterial SSU rRNA". It matches the Rfam family "Bacterial small subunit ribosomal RNA", at positions 100 to 933 of the family's 1533-position model. The record is from RNAcentral.
GAACGGGUGAGUAACACGUGGGUGAUCUGCCCUGCACUUUGGGAUAAGCCUGGGAAACUGGGUCUAAUACCGAAUAGGACCACGCGCUUCAUGGUGUGUGGUGGAAAGCUUUUGCGGUGUGGGAUGGGCCCGCGGCCUAUCAGCUUGUUGGUGGGGUAAUGGCCUACCAAGGCGACGACGGGUAGCCGGCCUGAGAGGGUGACCGGCCACACUGGGACUGAGAUACGGCCCAGACUCCUACGGGAGGCAGCAGUGGGGAAUAUUGCACAAUGGGCGCAAGCCUGAUGCAGCGACGCCGCGUGAGGGAUGACGGCCUUCGGGUUGUAAACCUCUUUCAAUAGGGACGAAGCGCAAGUGACGGUACCUAUAGAAGAAGCACCGGCCAACUACGUGCCAGCAGCCGCGGUAAUACGUAGGGUGCGAGCGUUGUCCGGAAUUACUGGGCGUAAAGAGCUCGUAGGUGGUUUGUCGCGUUGUUCGUGAAAACUCACAGCUUAACUGUGGGCGUGCGGGCGAUACGGGCAGACUAGAGUACUGCAGGGGAGACUGGAAUUCCUGGUGUAGCGGUGGAAUGCGCAGAUAUCAGGAGGAACACCGGUGGCGAAGGCGGGUCUCUGGGCAGUAACUGACGCUGAGGAGCGAAAGCGUGGGGAGCGAACAGGAUUAGAUACCCUGGUAGUCCACGCCGUAAACGGUGGGUACUAGGUGUGGGUUCCUUCCUUGGGAUCCGUGCCGUAGCUAACGCAUUAAGUACCCCGCCUGGGGAGUACGGCCGCAAGGCUAAAACUCAAAGGAAUUGACGGGGGCCCGCACAAGCGGC